This 497-nucleotide ribosomal RNA is filed under the name uncultured bacterium. Its description in RNAcentral is "partial 16S ribosomal RNA". It matches the Rfam family "Bacterial small subunit ribosomal RNA", at positions 28 to 507 of the family's 1533-position model. The record is from RNAcentral.
GAUGAACGCUGGCGGCGUGCCUAAUACAUGCAAGUCGAGCGAACAGACGAGGAGCUUGCUCCUCUGACGUUAGCGGCGGACGGGUGAGUAACACGUGGAUAACCUACCUAUAAGACUGGGAUAACUUCGGGAAACCGGAGCUAAUACCGGAUAAUAUAUUGAACCGCAUGGUUCAAUAGUGAAAGACGGUUUUGCUGUCACUUAUAGAUGGAUCCGCGCCGCAUUAGCUAGUUGGUAAGGUAACGGCUUACCAAGGCAACGAUGCGUAGCCGACCUGAGAGGAUGAUCGGCCACACUGGAACUGAGACACGGUCCAGACUCCUACGGGAGGCAGCAGUAGGGAAUCUUGGGCAAUGGGCGAAAGCUUGACGGAGCAACGCCGCGUGUGUGAUGAAGGUCUUCGGAUCGUAAAGCUCUGUUAUUGGGGAGGAACAAAUGUGUAAGUAACUAUGCACGUCUUGACGGUACCUAAUCAGAAAGCCACGGCUAACUACGUG